ACCCACUUUCCAGUUCGCCACAGGCAUUCGUAUCUCCGAACACACAGACCAGAAAUCCAAGUCCAAACUACCAGCUCGGUUCAAGAGCUCUUGCAUGUUUGUGGCACAAGGAAUAGACAAGAACGACCAAAGGAAAUCGAAAUGGGAAUAUAUUUUUAUUCCUUUCAUUUAUCAGGAAGAAAAAAAAGGGGUAACGGAUGACAAAGGGAAUCAUUUGAACACUCAAAAUUUGAAGGAGCAUCCCUUGGCCAGCCGCUAACCCCUUGCUAUGCAGUGAGCUUUUAAGAUACAAACUAAUGGCUUAGACUACUUGAGAUUUCUAUCAUUGGAAAGAAAGUAAAGAAAAGAAACUGGAAACGUGAUUGGAUUGGACAUACCAUAUCUUUUCUAUGAGACAAAGGUGGCAUCAUACAGAGGGAAGAUCGUUAACACCACUUGGGGACAACUGCCACAUUGUUGCACCACGAUCUACCACUCUUACAGAAUAACUUUCACUUCCUUUCAAUUUCUCCAGGUCAGUCUUUUCAACCGUUAAAUCCUAUCCUGGACAAUCAGAGAUACUUGACGGUUCAGCAACCUGGAACAAUUCAUUCUCCUCCCAUUCAAGGACAAGCAAACACAAGCAACUCUACAUUCUAUAUUUGUUUUGUUCCCUUUCAUACUAUGAGAGACUGCCCAUCAGAGACUUCUCGAAAAGGUGACCAGUCAACAAUUUCGACCAUAUUAAAGCAGUUGUGGGCCGUUCGACUGGAUGGGCAUCCAUGAGGUUCGAGAGGACGAGACAAUGGCACUGCUCGAGGCCAAGAAUUGGGUGGCUCAUUACAGGUCAUUUGAACGUUAUCAUCUUCUAAGUGGACUCGGUCGAGGUUGCAGCAGCGGCGGCGACAAACACUGCCUUUUUUUGUUGGCUAUGCCUGGGUUUCGCAUGGUUGGUAUCAAGAGAGAUAGGAACCAUGUUGCUAAUGAGUUAUAGCUCAACAGUCCUUUUCUUUAUCAUCGCCGUCUGUAACUAACUCUAAACUAAACUCAGCUUAAAUGGUAAUGCCUAGGCUCCGUGUGUCACCACACUACAAAUUUUCAGAACCUAGAGUAUAUGCCGAAAGUGAUCAAGAUAUCUACACAAGUUUCACCAUCACAUGAACCAACAAUCAGGGACACCGAACACAGACUAUAAUACCCACUUUCCAGUUCGCCACAGGCAUUCGUAUCUCCGAACACACAGACCAGAAAUCCAAGUCCAAACUACCAGCUCGGUUCAAGAGCUCUUGCAUGUUUGUGGCACAAGGAAUAGACAAGAACGACCAAAGGAAAUCGAAAUGGGAAUAUAUUUUUAUUCCUUUCAUUUAUCAGGAAGAAAAAAAAGGGGUAACGGAUGACAAAGGGAAUCAUUUGAACACUCAAAAUUUGAAGGAGCAUCCCUUGGCCAGCCGCUAACCCCUUGCUAUGCAGUGAGCUUUUAAGAUACAAACUAAUGGCUUAGACUACUUGAGAUUUCUAUCAUUGGAAAGAAAGUAAAGAAAAGAAACUGGAAACGUGAUUGGAUUGGACAUACCAUAUCUUUUCUAUGAGACAAAGGUGGCAUCAUACAGAGGGAAGAUCGUUAACACCACUUGGGGACAACUGCCACAUUGUUGCACCACGAUCUACCACUCUUACAGAAUAACUUUCACUUCCUUUCAAUUUCUCCAGGUCAGUCUUUUCAACCGUUAAAUCCUAUCCUGGACAAUUAGAGAUACUUUGACAGUUCAGCAAUCAGGAGCAAUUCACUCGUUCCAUGCAAGGACAAGCAAACACGAGCAACUUUACAGAAAUUGUAAUGCAGCAAAAAACCAGUCAUGACAAAAAAGAUUGCCAAAAUCAUAACAAGAGGCAACCGCUCACAGCAAAAACAAAGAUAACAAGAUAGAGUGUCAAACCUUCAUA
This 1923-nucleotide long non-coding RNA is filed under the name Linum usitatissimum (flax). RNAcentral describes it as "long non-coding RNA (LUSI_LNC004605)". The record is from RNAcentral. Lineage: Eukaryota; Viridiplantae; Streptophyta; Magnoliopsida; Malpighiales; Linaceae.